UGGAGGUCGCAGUGAGCCAAAAUCAAACCACUGCACUCCAGCCGGGGUGACAGGGCAAGACUCCAUCUCAAAAAAAAACAAAAACAAAAAAGCCAGAGAGACAGAGAGAAAAGACCAUUUUGAAGAUGAAAUUUGAUUUUUGGAAGACUAUUAAAUAUGUUAAAGGUUUAAGGCCACCGCGCCACCUGGCCUAUUUUAUCAAUAAUUUUUAAGCUGUUUUUAUUUUCCAAAGAUUACUAAAGUUACAUGAAUAAAAGGCAUUACAGUUUUUAUUUUAAAAUAUUUAAGUGCUUAUUUUUGUUUAAGCCAAUUAGAGCUCUUUUAUAUAAACAUUACACACACAACAACACAUAUAUAACUACACAGACAGACUGAAGAAGAUUACUACAGUAGUUGUAAGAUUUUUUCCCAGUUUUUAAGUUUCUUAAUUGGAUUAUUCACUUUAGGGCGGAGUCCUCGGAGGAACAGGGCCAGGAAAGGGUCUCUGGUGCCUCCUGUUUUUCCCAAGGAGCUCCAGGCUGUUAGAGCCUGAAUAUCUGCUUUUAAUUAAGCUGACUUUUAACCAUAGAACUCUUUAAUAAAGUCUUUCUAAAAUUUCUUAUUACCUGACUUUAGCCAGGCCAAAUGGCUGAUAUUUCUGGCUUUUAAACUUUACCAAAAGUAACCUCAUAGGUGCUCUGAGAAGGGAAAAUUCAAGACAGUUGGUGGAGGGGAAGAGAAUUUAAAAAUGGCAAAGGUCACCCAAAUAUUAAUCAGAAAGGUUCAUCCCUUAAUCUAGGGAUUGAACCCUGAACCCGGGCCGCCAUUCUGAAAAGAGAAAGCAUGGCCACAUAAUUACAAGGUCAAGCUCCCAAGGACAUAACUGACCAAUUUGCUGAGCCAUCUUGUAAAGUGGGCUUAUGGGCGUCCUAAGCCUGUGUUCUAUCCUAAGGUACCCCUCUUUAUGACAGAACAACACAGAAAGACACGCAAAGCACACCAGAUUUGCUACAGUUUAAGACCAGCCUCACAAAUCCUUUCUUCCAUUAAUCAAAAUUUACAGAGGAGAUAAACAGUGAUUUUUACCAUUCAUUCAAUGAGUUUGCACAGAGAGAGAGAGAGAGAUCAGAAGUCUGACUGGUAAGAAAUUCUUACCCUUUUGCCGGCAUACCAGGCUUCUGGGUUCUCUUUCCCUGAGUGGCCCUAAUGACCCAGCUGGCUGCACCAUAGUCCUGGGGGCCAAGACACAACACAAAGGAAAAUUUUCUUUUUUCAUUCUGGCCAGAGCAAAAUAUGUGUGAUAAAACACAGACAUUAGCCACUCUGCUUAGCAGCCAAUAUCAAACUGGCAAGACUUAAAUUUGCCCCCAGAUGGGCCCCAUUGUCUUUAAUCCAACCUCUGACUAGGAGUUUCAACAUAUGGUCUCUGGGCAAGAUGGUUUCCCUGAGUAACAGAAAAGAUAGGAAAGGAAAGGUAGAGAAAUAAAAGUAUUACCCAUGGCAGGAUGGGGAAGGUGAAGAGCUCAGGAAGGCCAGAGCAAGACCGACUCUUUGCAGCAAUACUGCAAAGUUCAGGCGGCCGAAUGUCAGUAGCAAAGAUGUCUUUUCCAGCAGUCCCAUCAGCUCUCAAGUUUCCCCAUUUGGGAGGAAAAAUCUCCCUAUGUGCCACUAUCCUGUACAUACAUGCCUAAUCUUGUCACCCACAACCAUCAGCAAAGAGUACAAGGCAAAUUAUUCCAAAGAGAAUAGCAGUUAACAUUCCAUAGUGCCUAACCCGUUCUUAGCCAAAAGGGACUUUACUGAGAGCCCUCAUUUUAAAAUGUACUUCAAUGUGUUGCUCAUUCAGAACAUUCCAC
RNAcentral lists this long non-coding RNA (1835 nucleotides) under Homo sapiens (human). RNAcentral's name for it is "LNC_000234". The record is from RNAcentral. Lineage: Eukaryota; Metazoa; Chordata; Mammalia; Primates; Hominidae.